GAUGAACGCUGGCGGCGUGCCUAAUACAUGCAAGUCGAGCGAACAGAUGAGGAGCUUGCUCCUCUGACGUUAGCGGCGGACGGGUGAGUAACACGUGGAUAACCUACCUAUAAGACUGGGAUAACUUCGGGAAACCGGAGCUAAUACCGGAUAAUAUAUUGAACCGCAUGGUUCAAUAGUGAAAGACGGUUUUGCUGUCACUUAUAGAUGGAUCCGCGCCGCAUUAGCUAGUUGGUAAGGUAGCGGCUUACCAAGGCAACGAUGCGUAGCCGACCUGAGAGGGUGAUCGGCCACACUGGAACUGAGACACGGUCCAGACUCCUACGGGAGGCAGCAGUAGGGAAUCUGCCGCAAUGGGCGAAAGCCUGACGGAGCAACGCCGCGUGAGUGAUGAAGGUCUUCGGAUCGUAAAACUCUGUUAUUAGGGAAGAACAAAUGUGUAAGUAACUAUGCACGUCUUGACGGUACCUAAUCAGAAAGCCACGGCUAACUACGUG
This 497-nucleotide ribosomal RNA is filed under the name uncultured bacterium. RNAcentral's name for it is "partial 16S ribosomal RNA". It matches the Rfam family "Bacterial small subunit ribosomal RNA", at positions 28 to 507 of the family's 1533-position model. The record is from RNAcentral.